Molecule: long non-coding RNA, 2795 nt
Filed under: Ananas comosus (pineapple)
Lineage: Eukaryota; Viridiplantae; Streptophyta; Magnoliopsida; Poales; Bromeliaceae
Description: long non-coding RNA (ACOM_LNC032731)
Source: RNAcentral
ACAAAAGAAUAGAUACAACGGUGGUCUCUCUAUACAUAGGGACAUCACCCUCGGCCGUAGCCCGAGUAGCAAGGUGAUCGACUAGCACGCUCCUAGUAGUCCCUAGCUAGGCGCGACUCCCUUGCCACGAUCCCUAGCCUCUCCUGUAACAGGCUCUGUAAAAACACGUGAAAACUAUUAAAAUAGUUUCCAGUGGGUAAGCCGGCCAGCCCCUCGAGCGAAUUACACCACUAGGCUCAUGAUGUACUUAAUGAAAGCAAAGUAGUCAAUUGCGAUGAAUAUAUAAUUAUGCAGUCCUGCUAACAGUAAUAGCAAUGUAAAAUUAAUGAACUAUAACAACAUGUAAUUCUAGUCUCAAAGUAAUAAUUUAACUUGAUAUGGAGCAUGGCCACUACUAGACAUAAACAUGGCCUAAAUGUGUAAGUAAUUGUUCAUGUAUUGGUAACAUUUCAUACCUGUUCCAAUUUCCUUUAGCUUUCAUUCAUCAGGACCUACCCAAGGUAGUCCAGCUUGCGCCGUGCCUAAUGGUCCCGUGGUAGUAUAUACUCCCCACAGCAAUCCACUUCGGCACCCAAUCCCGCACGGGCGAACAACUGUCGCGUAGGCCAACUCCGGAGUGCCGGCUUGUAGGGAGCGACCCUCACAAGCGUGUGCGAAUGAGCACGAUGGCAAGCAAGCAUAUUUCACUGUCCACAUGUCUCAAAUAUCAUGUUUUCAUUUGCAAUGUUCUUACUCUCGAUCCUCCGAUCGGAAAUUCAAUACACAAAUAGUAACAAGAACUAGUAUCCACUAGAUUGUAAACAUGUCCGAGUAAUGCUAAAGCACAAGGCAUUAUAAUCUUUCCACUAUUAUGGCACUAUCAACAUGGUCAUAAGCAUGUCAUGGUUCUCUACUUUAGAGUCCAGAGAAUGUCAUUGUUCUCUAUUUUACCAUCGAUAAAGUCACGAGAAUAUCAUUGUUCUCUACUUUACAACAGCAUAAAUAUCAUAUCCAUUAUUUAUCUAAUUUAACUAAAGAUAAACAUAAAUAUAAGCAUAAGUACAAUUAUGCAUGAAUUCUCUCUACUUCAUAGAGGUUCUAUUAAAUGUUAAGGCAAGGAAGUUCCAACAACCAUAUUAUGCCAAUAUCGCACAAUUAUCUCAAAUUCCAUACAUAUAGAACAUAGGGGAGCUUCACUUGCUCUGGUUAGGUCAAACCCACCUAGUAUGAGGCUCCAACUAUCCACAAGAAGUCCCACAAACGGCUCAACGAAGCCCCAAUGCUGCUGAAAAAACAAAUGUCAAGAUCGGAGUAAAUCUACGGCCGAAAUGUCCGAUUUCGGCUCAAAUCACAUCUCGUAUCAAGUAGCAACAUAAAUCGCUGUUUUGGUUCACUUUAGUACCUUCAAUUAAGUCUCUAAAGGCUUCCCAAAGCCAACCAAGGAUGACCCAAAGGUCAGUCGAACUCCCGCUGCGAUCAACACCAAUACGACAUCAAAAUCAUCAUAUAAUAGCAAAUAUAGUCGGAAUCUUGCGAAUUCAGUUUUCUAACUGAAAUCCUUGCUUACCUCAGGUUAGAAUACCUUCCAAACCAACUUCUAAGAGUACAAGUUCAGCUCAACGAGGCUCGAAGACCUGCUGCGAAGAAAUAAUCCCGAAAUUGCAUCAAUUCGCGCAAAUAAGUGCAAUUAGUUCUAAUUUAGCUUCAUAAUUGGCUAAAUAUUCAAUUAAGCUUCAAAGUAGCUUAUCCCUGGUCUAAGAAGGUUAAUUCACAGCUAAUUAACUCAUUUAUAAUAGCUGAAUUCUCAGUUUAGCACAGCCAAGAGCAAAAAUCCGAAAUCGCUACUCAAAUCGACGAAUAGAACGUCGAUAACGACAAAAGUGAGUCGAUUACCUUCUUAAGCUUCCAACCAGUGACCUGCUGAUCUAGGGCUGCGAAAACCUGUCCAAAACACUCUCCCACGUGUCCGCGAAAGCUCUGCAACGCUCGCAAACAGCGAAGAACAAGCGCGGCGACGAAAACGGUGCAAAACGGCGACUUUUCUCUAGAGAGAGAAAAACCCUAGAGAGAGAGGAAGAGAAAAAUGGGAGAACCCUUCUCUGGACUCCAGACCCUUCCACAGUGCUCCUGGAGUCGUGCUGGGGGUUAUAGAUAGGGAUCAAAAUGUGAAAAGACCAAAAUAGCCUUGCUGCCACGAAUUGCCACUGUGUACCGGUACACCAUUGCGGCUGUACCGGUACAGCAAGCAGAAAAGGCUGAUUUUCGCCAGUUCAAUGCACUUUCUCACUUCUCGCAUUCCAAACAUCCUCUAACUUAUCCAAACACUUGUUCUAACCUUUUAGAACAUGUAAGAGUGAUCCACACACCAUUCCACACACUCGAACUCUGCAAUUUGCGAAAGUCCAGUGUAUUACAUUCACCCCUCCUAAAAAGAAGUUUCGUCCGCGAAACUUGUAAANAAGAGAACAAUAGUAUAAACCCAAAAUCUCAACCAUCAACGAAGUAUCACAACUAUAGUGACUGUCCAAAAGUACAUAUACAUCACGGGGUCAACAAAAGAAUAGAUACAACGGUGGUCUCUCUAUACAUAGGGACAUCACCCUCGGCCGUAGCCCGAGUAGCAAGGUGAUCGACUAGCACGCUCCUAGUAGUCCCUAGCUAGGCGCGACUCCCUUGCCACGAUCCCUAGCCUCUCCUGUAACAGGCUCUGUAAAAACAACCACCAAAAGGGCGUGAAAACUAUUAACAAUAGUUCCCAGUGGGUAAGCCGCCAGCCUCGGCGAAUUACACCACUAGGCUCAUGAUGUACUAAAUGA